AGUCUGAUGGAGCAACGCCGCGUGAGUGAAGAAGGGUUUCGGCUCGUAAAGCUCUGUUGGUAGUGAAGAAAGAUAGAGGUAGUAACUGGCCUUUAUUUGACGGUAAUUACUUAGAAAGUCACGGCUAACUACGCGCCAGCAGCCGCGGUAAUACGUAGGUGGCAAGCGUUGUCCGGAUUUAUUGGGCGUAAAGCGAGUGCAGGCGGUUCAAUAAGUCUGAUGUGAAAGCCUUCGGCUCAACCGGAGAAUUGCAUCAGAAACUGUUGAACUUGAGUGCAGAAGAGGAGAGUGGAACUCCAUGUGUAGCGGUGGAAUGCGUAGAUAUAUGGAAGAACACCAGUGGCGAAGGCGGCUCUCUGGUCUGCAACUGACGCUGAGGCUCGAAAGCAUGGGUAGCGAACAGGAUUAGAUACCCUGGUAGUCCAUGCCGUAAACGAUGAGUGCUAAGUGUUGGGAGGUUUCCGCCUCUCGGUGCUGCAGCUAACGCAUUAAGCACUCCGCCUGGGGAGUACCGCCGCAAGGUUGAAACUCAAAGGAAUUGACGGGGGCCCGCACAAGCGGUGGAGCAUGUGGUUUAAUUCGAAGCAACGCGAAGAACCUUACCA
RNAcentral lists this ribosomal RNA (605 nucleotides) under Lactobacillus gasseri. RNAcentral's name for it is "bacterial SSU rRNA". It matches the Rfam family "Bacterial small subunit ribosomal RNA", at positions 380 to 976 of the family's 1533-position model. Lineage: Bacteria; Bacillati; Bacillota; Bacilli; Lactobacillales; Lactobacillaceae. The record is from RNAcentral.